CUGAUCUUCUCGUGAAGAAGCGAGAAUAAUAAUAUAAGACGAGAAGACCCCAUGGAGCUUUAAACUCAUAAUCAUUUACUUAAACUUAAAUCACAGAAAACAGUAAAAUUGUCCUAUUAUAGUUUUAGGCUGGGGUGACCCUGGAGUAAAAUAAAUCCUCCAGAGUGAACGGAAUCUAAUAAUAGAGCUACAGCUCAAAUAAUCAAAAAACUGACACUACUGAUCCAACUUAUUGAUCAACGAAACAAGUUACCCUGGGGAUAACAGCGCAAUCCAUUUCAAGAGCCCCUAUCGACAAAUGGGUUUACGACCUCGAUGUUGGAUCGGGAUGUCCAGGUGGCGCAGCCGCUACCAACGGUUCGUUUGUUCAACGAUUAACAAUCCCACGUGAUCU
Molecule: ribosomal RNA, 394 nt
Filed under: Afrixalus paradorsalis
Lineage: Eukaryota; Metazoa; Chordata; Amphibia; Anura; Hyperoliidae
Description: partial large subunit ribosomal RNA
Rfam family: Bacterial large subunit ribosomal RNA
Source: RNAcentral